CAUCCCUUAUACUCUAAUAACAAUGGACGAAAGUGAUAUCGGUCUCUUCAUGAAAUCUCUGUGCAAGUAUUAAUGCACUCUCAUUUAGCCAUUCCCAAAAAAAUAACAAGUAAAAAUCGACUGCCUUCUCACAUCUGUGCCUUCGGAAUCCGAAAGCCCCAAGCCUCCACAAAACGCCAUCAUCCCCUCUUUCCUCCCAAGCGACAAUUCUCAUUUUCGUUCAAUCCGAAAACAUUCUUGAGCUCCACCCCUUUUCAUAAUCAACUUCGCGAGCUCUUCCCCCUUUCUUCCUUAUUCUGCAACCGUCGACCAUCGAAUCUCCAUCAUCUCCUUCUUCAGCCUCGUCUGUUCUUGCUUUGUCGCUCCACAAAUGGCUGCUUCCAAUCUUAAGCCUUCAGCAGAAGAUCUUCCUUACUGCUUUUCUCAAGUGUGUUCAAUCUGUUGACCUUCUGGUGUUUGACGCUCAGUUUUUGCUUGAUUGCCUCGACCGCUUCUGUGAAUGUGCGACUCUAGAGAUUGCUAACAGAGUGGAAGCCUCAAGAUUGGUGUGCCAUCGAAGGACUCAUUCGAGACCCACACCUAAUCCUAGCCGCUUAACAGCAAAAUCAGCCUAUGAAAUGUUGAGAGAUUUCAGGGCUGAUGGAGACGAGAGAAUUGCUAGCAGAAAGAGCUGAGAACUUCCUGAUUUCCUUGAAGCAGAGGUUCUUAGGUUUAACUCAAGUAAUCUCAUUAUAUACGUUAUCCCACUGUCAAUUAAGUGAUGAUUAAGUGAUGAUUAACCUUGGCUAAAUUGAGGAAUCAAUAAAAUAAUCCCACAUGGGUUUCAGUCU
Molecule: long non-coding RNA, 830 nt
Organism: Prosopis cineraria
Lineage: Eukaryota; Viridiplantae; Streptophyta; Magnoliopsida; Fabales; Fabaceae
Exons: 2
Source: RefSeq, a predicted model, not a curated record